Molecule: ribosomal RNA, 492 nt
Filed under: uncultured bacterium
Lineage: Bacteria
Description: partial 16S ribosomal RNA
Rfam family: Bacterial small subunit ribosomal RNA
Source: RNAcentral
GAUGAACGCUGGCGGCGUGCCUAACACAUGCAAGUCGAGCGAAAACACGAGGAGCUCUUUCCCCUACGGUUAGCGGGGGGCGGGCGAGUAACAAAUGGAUCACCUUCCUCUUUGACUUGGGUAAUAUCGGGGAAACAGGUACAAUAAUACCGCAUACAAUGUACCGCUUGGAUCAAUAGAUCUACAGAGCUUUCGCGUUUGUUUUAGCCGAUGCCGCACUCGCUAGUUGGCUAGGUAAAGGCUUACCAAGGCAACGAUACGUAGCCGACCUGAGAGGGUGAUCGGCCACACUGGAACUGAGACACGGUCCAGACUCCUACGGGAGGCAGCAGUAGGGAAUCUUCCGCAAUGGGCGAAAGCCUGACGGAGCAACGCCGCGUGAGUGAUGAAGGUCUUCGGAUCGUAAAACUCUGUUAUUAGGGAAGAACAAAUGUGUAAGUAACUAUGCACGUCUUGACGGUACCUAAUCAGAAAGCCACGGCUAACUACGUG